Molecule: long non-coding RNA, 229 nt
Filed under: Populus trichocarpa (black cottonwood)
Lineage: Eukaryota; Viridiplantae; Streptophyta; Magnoliopsida; Malpighiales; Salicaceae
Description: long non-coding RNA (PTRI_LNC003325)
Source: RNAcentral
UUUAUAUUGAGCUGAUUGAGAUUUAGUUUUGUAAUUUUUUUCUUUAAAACAUUGUUGAUUGUUGUAGUGUUUCUCUGCAUGGUUUUUUUUGUUUUUGUUUUUUUAUGAUUUUCUUCGAAAUUAUAUUUUUUAAUAUUGAGUUGGUUAAAAAUUAUAUUUACAAUAUGUGAGGAAAACACUGUAACUUUCCUCGCAAAUUACUAUGGAUUGCUACAAUGUUUUUUCCCAC